CGGCAACGGAUAUCUCGGCUCUCGCAUCGAUGAAGAACGUAGCGAAAUGCGAUACUUGGUGUGAAUUGCAGAAUCCCGUGAACCAUCGAGUCUUUGAACGCAAGUUGCGCCCGAAGCCUUUAGGCCGAGGGCACGCCUGCCUGGGCGUCACACGCCGUUGCCCCC
This 165-nucleotide ribosomal RNA is filed under the name Pyrus salicifolia. RNAcentral's name for it is "5.8S ribosomal RNA". The stretch from base 3 to 150 matches the Rfam family "5.8S ribosomal RNA". Rfam says of the family: 5.8S ribosomal RNA (5.8S rRNA) is a component of the large subunit of the eukaryotic ribosome. It is transcribed by RNA polymerase I as part of the 45S precursor that also contains 18S and 28S rRNA. The record is from RNAcentral. Lineage: Eukaryota; Viridiplantae; Streptophyta; Magnoliopsida; Rosales; Rosaceae.